Molecule: long non-coding RNA, 349 nt
Organism: Rosa rugosa (rugosa rose)
Lineage: Eukaryota; Viridiplantae; Streptophyta; Magnoliopsida; Rosales; Rosaceae
Exons: 2
Source: RefSeq, a predicted model, not a curated record
UUGCGAAUCAUGGCAUGGUCCAAGGGGUUCUUUGCUCUCUGUGGCUCCGUUGUGGCAGUCGGGCUUUUAGGCAACGCUAUAAUCUGCACAGAGAUUAGUCGAAACGCGCUAAAAAGAUGGAUCGCUAUGAACGAGCGAGUUCUCAUAGGAAGAGGCGUGGAUAUCGCUGAGUUUAGCAAAUGAACCCGACUACUUCUGGCUUGAUGUAAUUAUAACUACAUAAAUGUUGUGAGGAUAUCUCAUGGCUUAGUUCUGUUUUGUACCUUAAUUUUAUGGGAAUGCUGUGUAAGACAGUAAACUUGUCUGGAUAAGUAUCAAAAUCUAUCUGAUGUUUGGUUGAAUUUUUUUU